Molecule: long non-coding RNA, 237 nt
Filed under: Lathyrus oleraceus (garden pea)
Lineage: Eukaryota; Viridiplantae; Streptophyta; Magnoliopsida; Fabales; Fabaceae
Description: Pisum sativum (pea) long non-coding RNA (PSAT_LNC018927)
Source: RNAcentral
UUGACUCAUGGAUGGGCGACCGGGACGGUUGAAGGGAGACAUGGGUGUGAAUGAUGCGUCUAGGAAAGGUUGGAAAGGUUGUUGGGGUGUUUGGAAGAGAUAUGGUUGUGGGAUGUUUUGGUAUUGUGAUGUUUGGGGUUCUUGGCUACGGUAGGAGGAGGGGCGGUUAGUGUUUUGGCUAAGGCGACUUUGGUAGGGUGAUGGUGUGGGUGCGAAGCGAUGUUCGGUCUGAGGUUG